GAUAAACGCUAGCGGCAGGCUUAAUACAUGCAAGUCGAGGGGCAGCACAGGUAGCAAUACUGGGUGGCGACCGGCAAACGGGUGCGGAACACGUACACAACUUACCUUAGAGUGGGGGAUAGCCCAGGGAAACUUGGAUUAAUACCCCAUAAAACAGGGGGCCCGCAUGGGCAUAUUGUUAAAGAUUUAUCGCUUUAAGAUGGGUGUGCGUAUGAUUAGGUAGUUGGUAGGGUAAAGGCCGACCAAGCCGACGAUCAUUAACUGGUGUGAGAGCACGACCAGUCAAACGGGCACUGAGACACGGGCCCGACUCCUACGGGAGGCAGCAGUAAGGAAUAUUGGUCAAUGGACGGAAGUCUGAACCAGCCAUGCCGCGUGAAGGAUGAAGGUCCUCUGGAUUGUAAACUUCUUUUAUAGGGGGCGAAAAAGGGCCUUUUUAGGUCAACUGACGGUACCCUAUGAAUAAGCACCGGCUAACUCCGUGCCAGCAGCCGCCGUAAAAC
RNAcentral lists this ribosomal RNA (503 nucleotides) under uncultured bacterium. RNAcentral describes it as "bacterial SSU rRNA". It matches the Rfam family "Bacterial small subunit ribosomal RNA", at positions 28 to 526 of the family's 1533-position model. The record is from RNAcentral.